RNAcentral lists this ribosomal RNA (388 nucleotides) under uncultured euryarchaeote. RNAcentral's name for it is "bacterial SSU rRNA". It matches the Rfam family "Archaeal small subunit ribosomal RNA", at positions 84 to 474 of the family's 1478-position model. The record is from RNAcentral. Lineage: Archaea; Methanobacteriati; Methanobacteriota.
UACGGCUCAGUAACACGUAGUCAACCUGCCCUUAGGUAAGAGAUAACCUCGGGAAACUGAGGAUAAUAUCUUAUAGUAAAAAGGUUCUGGAAAGCCCUUUUUUAGAAAGCCUCGGCGCCUAAGGAUGGGACUGCGGCUGAUUAGGCAGUUGGUGGUGUAACGGACCACCAAACCAAAGAUCCAUACGGGCCAUGAGAGUGGUAGCCCGGAGAGGGACACUGAGAUACUGGUCCCAGCCCUACGGGGUGCAGCAGGCGCGAAACCUUUUCAAUGCACGAAAGUGUGAGAAGGGAAUUCCAAGUGCUCAGGUUUUACCUGGGCUUUUGUUAAGUGUAAAUAGCUUAGCGAAUAAGGGGUGGGUAAGACUGGUGCCAGCAGCCGCGGUAAU